RNAcentral lists this long non-coding RNA (428 nucleotides) under Olea europaea subsp. europaea. The record is from RNAcentral. Lineage: Eukaryota; Viridiplantae; Streptophyta; Magnoliopsida; Lamiales; Oleaceae.
CCACUAUAUGAUUGACUAGUCAAAAAUACAAGUACUCAGGGAGAUGCAUAUAUAAAAGAAGCGGUAUAUUGAUAAAGAAAGUUCUUUUUUCAAAAUCAAAAGUGCGAUUAGGUUCAAAAAAUAAAAGAUUUUGAACCAUCUUGUUAUCAUAUAACAUAGACCAAUUAAAUGAACUGGAAAAAAAAAGAUAGGGUAGAGAAUCUGUUGAUAAGUUUAGCUAUUUUCGAGGUAUCUAUUCUUAGUAGGAUACCUUGUUUUGACUGUAUUGCACUAUAUAUCAUUUGAUAACCCACAAAAUUCUUCUAACUUGGUUCAAAUAAAAUUUCAAAUGGAGAAAAUCCAAAGAUAUUUAGCCCAAGAUGCCAAAAUCAUCAGUUAUGGCUUUUAGCCACUGCACUUAUUAGAAAAACGUUCAAUAAUUAUUUUCG